ACGGGUGAGUAACGCGUGGGAAUCUACCGUACCCUACGGAAUAGCUCCGGGAAACUGGAAGUAAUACCGUAUACGCCCGAAAGGGGAAAGAUUUAUCGGGGUAUGAUAAGCCCGCGUUGGAUUAGCUAGUUGGUGGGGUAAAGGCCUACCAAGGCGACGAUCCAUAGCUGGUCUGAGAGGAUGAUCAGCCACAUUGGGACUGAGACACGGCCCAAACUCCUACGGGAGGCAGCAGUGGGGAAUAUUGGACAAUGGGCGCAAGCCUGAUCCAGCCAUGCCGCGUGAGUGAUGAAGGUCUUAGGAUUGUAAAGCUCUUUCACCGAUGAAGAUAAUGACGGUAGUCGGAGAAGAAGCCCCGGCAAACUUCGUGCCAGCAGCCGCGGUAAUACGAAGGGGGCUAGCGUUGUUCGGAAUUACUGGGCGUAAAGCGCACGUAGGCGGAUAAUUAAGUCAGGGGUGAAAUCCCGCAGCUCAACUGCGGAACUGCCUUUGAUACUGGUUAUCUUGAGUAUGGAAGAGGUAAGUGGAAUUGCGAGUGUAGAGGUGAAAUUCGUAGA
This 557-nucleotide ribosomal RNA is filed under the name uncultured bacterium. RNAcentral describes it as "bacterial SSU rRNA". It matches the Rfam family "Bacterial small subunit ribosomal RNA", at positions 102 to 694 of the family's 1533-position model. The record is from RNAcentral.